ACCAAAAAAACAAUACUCUUUGUGAUGUGAUUGAUAUUGGGGGUUUGGAUGAUACAGUUAGUGUUGGGGGUACGUAUAGUAACACCUUAUUUACAUACAAGUAUAGCAUUACGACCACCAAGGUUGUUAUUGACUUGCAGUUCUAUCAAUGUUACAGCCACCAAGGCUACCAUCUUAAUUCGUUAACAACAUAUAAAGUAUAUCAUUACAGUCACCAAGGUUGUCAUUGAUUUGCCAUUCAUCUACGAUGAUAUUACGGCCACCAAGGCUACCACCAUACCCCAAAACAACAUACAAGUAUAGAAUUAGUUCAAUGAUGAUAUUAUGGCCACUAAGGCUAACAUCAUAAUCUGGUACAAACAUAUAAGUAUAACAUUAUGACCACUAAUGCUAACAUCAUAAUCGAUACUAACAUACAAGUAUAACAUUACGGCUACCAAGGCUGUCAUUGACUUUUAUUUCUCAAAGAUGGUAUUACGACCAACAAUGCUUCCACCAAUAUCAGGCAUGCAGACUCACAACACGAUAUCGUUCUUACCAACAUCCCAUCGGAGGCAUACAACCUCAUCAUACUGCCUUAUUGCUAACAAAACUAUAUCACUCUAGUCUAACACAUGUUUUCCACAAAACGGUACACCAACGUCCUACCUUACAACAGACAUACAAUUUCACAUAUAAUAGAAUAGGAAACCCCUUUCAUAUAGUUCAAUGAUCAUCAACUAAAUAAUCUGUAUAUAUAUUGCACAACAAUACUCCACUAUAUAACUUCUUUAUUUCGCAUAGCCAUUAACAACUUCGCCGACAUUCUACUACUCAUAACCACUACAACUAGAUUUAUCGUUUAAUCAAUAUAAUAUAACUUAUCUAUAAUUUAGUUGAACCAUCUCAUUGUUUCACAUAACAAUAACCCACUAUAAUAUUCAACCAUUUCGGUUCACCACAACUCUCAACCAUACAUAACCUUACAAGUUCCAAACCCAAACGUAAGAUUUCAUAAUAAUCAUAAUAUUGAAAUUAUCAUGCAAUACAAUAAUAAACACACAUAUGAAUAACAUAUAUCUAGAAGAAGGAUGCGAUUACUCACCUGGUCAAUCAGUGGGGCCUAAAUAUGAUUUUGGCAUCAAGCUUUGCUCUGAUUUCCAACUCAUCAUUUGUCCAGACCUAUUCAGACAAUAUAUCAAAUUCAUUAGAACUUACCUAAACUCACCAUUAUCAACCACAAUGAUCAGUUACCUGAUUCCCAACUAAACUCGAUCACCAUUCAUUAACAAACCAGUCAAGUUCCCAUAUAUAACCGCUAGAUGACUUAACCCCAUAAGCCGUUAGCCUAAUCGACAAUUAUGAUAAAUUAGGGUUUACAACCCUUAACCAAAUAGAUUAAGAUGUUCACUAUAAAUUCAUUAAUUAAAAAUUGGUCACUAAGUUGUAACAACACCAUACCACGACCUUUAUAACAUACUUGGGGUCUAACAACCCUUUAUAAUAUGCUACGUAAGUAUAAUUACGUAUCAACGAAUCAAGAGGAUAUUUUAGCUCGUAUGACAGUCGUACCCUCAUUAAUCGGUCUCACGGCCUCUGUCUCAACGCUAUAAUUGUUGUUCAACAAUUCUAAAUUUGUUCAGCCAAAGCACUGUUUCAACUAUUUAUACAAGACUGAUUACGUAAUCCGAGUUGCGACAUUAACAUAAUCAGGCCCCGACCAUGUGUAGCACCUCAAAAUCAGCCAUGUAGCUCAUUUCCUCACCACGUGUCUAUUCUCACACCGCAUGUCCCCUACUGUCACGACUCUUCAUCGCGUCGCGAUAUUAACAUACUCACGUCGUGACAUAGCAAUGUACUUUAAGUUAUAACAGUGUUGUGACACUCGUUUUGUUUUUAGUAAAUUAUAAUCUAAGAUAUAUUAAUAGUAUAAAAUAUAUAGGUGAAUGUGUUAGAAAUUAAGUAAUGUCGUAAUAAAAGAGUUUAAAUCAAAAGAGUAUUUUGGCCAUUUUGUGUAAUUCUUGAAUUUCUGGUAAAUUUUAUGAUUUUAUAAAAAAGAAAUGUUGUAGCAUAAACAUGUGCUAUAAGAUGAAUAAUUUAUGAGUGCAAAGGACUUAAUGCUACAUAAUGUUCAUCUUCACGGGGUGUAUCAUUGUGGUUAUCACUCAGAUAAAACAUAUACAAUAUUUCAUUGUUCACUUUGAAGGGAACAUUCUUAUGACAAGUAUUCUAUUGCUAACUAUUAACUUCUUACAAUUCAUAGGAUACAAAAGAUGUUUUAUCCUUUAGGAGAAAAGACGUGAAUGCCCUCGUCCUUUUGAGAGUAGCCUUUAAAAACUUAUACAGUCCUGGCCCAUGUAGCACACACAACAUUAUAAAACAAGUUCAUAGAGAUUAUGGAAAUAAAGAAUAUUUAUUUCCAUGCAAUAUUUGCUCAAGGAAAUUAUUAUUAUUAUUAUUUUAAUAUUUUCUAGUCCUAGGUGCACAGAAAGGAUGGCUGGCAACAUUGAGAAAUUGGGUGGAGCUCAAUACAUGUUUCUCGCUCACAAGUAUAAUGAUGAUGAGUUCAAGCAACAUUCGAUAAUUGUAAUAUUAUAUAAGCUAUUUAUUGACUUUUCUUCUUAAAAUUAGGGAUGCCACAUGAUUUGAGAUCACAAGAAGUGAUCUAAGCGAUUAGGUUGUAAAAGAAUUCUCCACUCCAAAGAAGUAUGAUAUUUCUGCUAUUUUGUCUUGUCAUUUGUUAGCUACCUAGUGGGCUUAUGUACCUGAUUUAUAUCAUCAUUAUAGUGUGAGCUAUAUAUUUCAGGGUGUUAACUUUUUAGUAGAUAAUUCUUGAUAUGUUUGUUUUCAUUAAAAAAAAGUGGUAAAUUUAUAAUUUUUGAUGCAUUUAAGGUAAAUGUAUCGACAAAAGAGGUGGACUAAAUAUCUACAGUCUGAAAAAAGAAAACUGUUAGAAAACUGUUUGUUUUUUUAACAUCUGCAAACUACUAAAAUAAACUAAAAUUUAAAUAAACUGAUUUUUUUAAACUACAAAGUGAUCUUUUAAUAUAUUUAUGACUUUGUUAUAAAUAAUUAACAAAUCUAAAUCAACGUUUAGUAUUAUUAUAUAAAAAGUGAAAAUAAAAAUGGUACAAAUCAACGUAUAUAUUUAAAAAAAAAACCAACAAUUUUGGUCGUAAAGUUAUGCCUAAACAUUGUAAUUAGGAAUCAAAGAAUUUGAUAUAUAAAUGAAUGAAAAUGAACUUCGAUUUUGUCAAUUAAAUCAAUUAAAAACAUGCACAAAUAUUUUUUCUAAAAAAUUGAUGAUGUUUUAUUAAAUAAUGUUUUAUAAAAUUUGGCACAAAAAAUAUAAAAAUAUAUUAUUAUUUUUUUCAUAUAUAUAUAUAUAUAUAUAUAUAUAUAUAUAUAUAUAACUGUAAAAAAAAAAAAUANUGACGACUAUUAUUGUAAUAAAUUUUUAUUUAUAAAUUUGUCAAAAAUAUCAUGUUUGUGUCGUCGAACUUUUUUUUUUAAGUAUUGUAACUUUUUUUUUUCAAAUUGUUUAUCACUAAUAAAGUUGGAAUAAAUAUAAAUUCAAAAAAGAUAAAAAUAAAGUAUAUGUGUUUUUUUAGGCUAGAAGAUGUCUGAAGAUGUUAAAAGACUUUGGUUCACAUCUGCGCCAAGAAAAGGGCGCACAAACAUUUUUAGGUCUGCAGUUUUCAAAUAAACAAACAGUCUACGAAAGAUAAUGUAUGUGCGUGGUCUGCGCCGCGCAGACUGAAAAGGCCAAAAAGAUCUGCGGACAAAAAACAAACACUACCUUAAUGAUACCACCUUAAUGAUGACAUUCAAUUUAUACACACACCAGGACACACAAAAGUAGGGGUGAGCAAAAACCGCACCGCAACUAAAAUUAACCGCAAAAACCGCAACCGCAAUANCCGCAAUAAAAACCGAUAGUGAGGUUUUCUGUUUUUCAAAAACCGCAAAUUUGCGGUGCGGUGCGGUUAUUAGUUUCCAAAAACCGCAAAAAAACCGCACCGCACCGCAUAUAUUAUAUACAAUUUUUUUUUAUCAAUUAUUAGUUUAUUAAAUAUUAAAAAUAAGACAAGUUUCAUGAAUGAGAGACAAAUAAAAUAGUAGAAAACAAAAAUGUUGGUUUUUUUUAUGUUUAACUUUGAAAAUAAUGAAAUUAGAUAAUUUUAAGAUACUUAUUGUUAAUUACUAAUGAUUUGACGUUUUUAAGAUAUUAGUUGUUUGUGGUUUAAGUUAAAUAGUUAAUUGUCUUAUACCUUAUGUUUUUUUUUAUUAUUACAAGUAAUAUGUUUGAACUUUUAAAACUAUUUGAGCUCUAAACUAGGAUUAAAAACCACACAAAUUAAUCGCAACAAAUCCAUGCGGUUAAUAACCGCAACACAGAAAAAACAAAACCGCACCGCAAAAAUAACCGCCUAACCGCACCGCAAAAAUAACCGCACUAUACGGUUUUGAAAAUGGAUUAACCGCAUUUGCGGUUAGUGGUGAGGUUUUGGCUAAUAACCGCACCGAACUGCACCGCGCUCAACCCUACACAAAAGUGAGUAGACAACCGAUUAUUUGAUUAUUACAACUUUGAUUAUUACAACCGAUUAUAAUUAUUUUGUAUUAAAUAGUCACUUUCAGAACGCACAUCCAAAUAAUAUGUUUUAUAAACAAUUGAUAAUUUAUAUGGACAAGAUCAGUCUGCUUGUUUUACAAGCCCUUAAAGGUUUGGCAAUGGAGGAAUCUAAGCUGACAGUUUAUGAGAUAUUUAACUUUUAUUCAGUUAUAACGCAUUUGAUCUCUAUAAUUUUGACAAAAUAAAAUUUAUCUAGUUAUAUUAAAAAAGUUAAUUAUUGAUUUUAUACACUAAGUUAUCAACAUUCUAUAAGGGAAUCUCAAACCCAACACUAAACUAAUAGCAUUUUUUGCACCACUUUGCUUGAACCAACACCAUUUUUUGCAUCAUUUUGGGGUACAUGAUUAUUAAUAUACUAUUAAAUUUGAUGUUAUACCAUUUUUUGCAUCAUUUUUGUGUACAAGAUUAUUAAUAUAAAAUUAAAUUUGGUGUUACAUCAACUUUCAUAUGUCAAUAUUGGUGUAGUACAAAUUAUUGGUGUUAUGUGUUGCAAAUGUCUAAAGAAAGAAAGCUUAUAACCUAAAAUAAAAAGGUUAAUUACAUAAAGACCCUAUAUAUUUAUUGGGUUUUUUUUUACAGAUUAAACUUUAUUUUUUCCUGAAAAAUCCUUUACAUUGUUUCAUUUUUUCGGUAUGAUCUUUUACUUUUUAGUAUGUUUAUUGGUAAUCUUCUGGUUUUAUACAAAGAUGUAAAGGUUAUUUUUUAGAAAAAAAAAAUAAGUUAAUGUUUAAUCCAAAAAACAUUGGUAAUCUUCUGGUUUUAUACAAAGAUGUAAAGGUUAUUUUUUAGAAAAAAAAAAAAUAAAGUUAAUGUUUAAUCCAAAAAAAUGAAAAGAUGUAAGGGCUAAAUCAAAAAAAUGGAAAAACAUAAGGACCAAGUUAGAAGGCUUUUUCGAAAAAAAAAAAAAAAAAAAAAAAAAAACGAAGUUGAAUUUUUAGAAGGCUUUUUAUUGAAAGUCCUGGAUUUUGUUCCUUCUUUCAAAUUUAAAGUUUUUCGUCCCUUAAAAAAUAUUUUCCUUUUCGUCCCUUGAAUUAAAACUGUCAGUUUUUUUCCUACCUAAUAUAAAAAUGAACAUUAAUAACUAAUUUCAUACUUCAUAAAGAUACAACAUUGUUUGGAGAAGUAAUCAUUAAAAUAUAAAACUUGUAUGCCAUAUUUUAUUUCCAAUUUUCAGUGGUUAUAGUGUUAUACAGUUUGGAUAGUGUUGCUAUGUUGCUUGAGGUAGAAUUCGAGUGGAUAUUACCAAGUACAUACUUUUGUCCCACCCAAAAAGAUGGGAUAAAGACUUGUUUUUGUCAAAAGGUGUUAAUGCCCUCAUCUUCACUUUCAAAAAUAAACUUAGAAUCAUGUAUCGUGUAAGUUGUAACAAACAUCAAAAAUAACAACAAAAAGUUAUGUUUGUUACAUAGGACAUGAUUAAAUAAAUGAGUGUAUCAGUAAAAGAUUGCUUUAAUGUUGUGGAUAGGGCAUGGAAGGAGAAAAUAUCAAAGGGAACUUGAAUACAACAUGUUGUAGUGUGUUGAACACCCCAACUUUAUUAUAAUUAACUUUUUUUUAAGUAGUAGUUACAAAAAGGAUUAAAAAGUCAAUGUCCGUAUGUACAUAAAUGUUAAACAAAAAAUUAACACAAACUAUUUUUUAGUAUAUGAUUAUUGAAAUUCAAAUUGCAAACCCCAUCGACAAAAUUACAUACCAAACCAACGGAGACACGAAAUUGAAUUAUUCGAGUUCAAAUGCCAAUUUCUUUGAUUGAAUUUCUUCGAUUUAAAAUUGUUUGACAAAAUUCCGGCGUAAUAGAAGCAAAUAAAAUCAUCAGUGAUUUAGUGAUCAGAAAUAAUACAAUAAAAUCAAAUAAGAUAAUUAAAAAAAGAUCAAAAAACAGUCUUGACAUAAAACAGUUAAAGUCGAGGAAAAAAGCGAUAAAAAAAAAAAAAAAAAAAAAANGGGAAAAAAAAAGAAAAAAAAAAAAAAAAAAAAAAAAAACGAAUUAAAAAAUGCAACAAAAAAAACGAAUUAAUAAAAUUAUACGCAGUGAAUCAACGACCUUUUUCACAAAGUUUGAAGUGUGUGUAUGUCUAAGAAGAAUAUACGAGGCUCAGAUCUGUUUUACCUUCGGAACAAGAAGAUUAAACCGCCAUGGCUGCAAAUACAGAGGUUGCAUUCUCACAAUCGCCGUCCUCCGAUUAUAUGCCCUGCCAAGCUGCGGAUAAUCUCAAAUCAUGUCCCGAUUUUGAAUCAGAUCACGUUUAAUCAUCAUAGCCUCAUAUUUGUGGACAAUAAUUUUGGACGGAAGGAGUAUAAUAUGAAGAAAAGAUAGGAGGAUAUUUAAUUUCUCUAUAUCUAUAUAUAUAUAUAUCAGCAAAAGCUGUACCAGAGGGUUGUUGGAGCUUUAAAGAAUGACAAUGGAAAUCAUCGGCGUCGAGAGGCGGCAACCGCCCUUGGAAACCCUUCUUCCUCUCACAGCCUCAUUCUUUGAGCCGUAAAACAGAAAUCCCUAGCUUUCAUCCGGUUACUAUAUAGUCUAUAAAGUUAUAUUAAGGCCAUCGAUUUGGGUUACCAAUUGGAUCUUUGGAUCUACUUUAAUUUGUCAUUUAU
This 7210-nucleotide long non-coding RNA is filed under the name Lactuca sativa (garden lettuce). RNAcentral describes it as "long non-coding RNA (LSAT_LNC007226)". The record is from RNAcentral. Lineage: Eukaryota; Viridiplantae; Streptophyta; Magnoliopsida; Asterales; Asteraceae.